Non-coding RNA from Sphaeramia orbicularis (orbiculate cardinalfish), 546 nucleotides. Lineage: Eukaryota; Metazoa; Chordata; Actinopteri; Kurtiformes; Apogonidae. The record is from the annotation of a RefSeq genome assembly.
AUGACUUUGGUCUCCGUCCUCAUCUGGACUCUCCUCUGCUGCCGCUUCACAGGUAAAAUUUCCAGAGGCCAGGUCACAGUGACUCCUCUGCAGGGACUUCUGUUACGGGCACUGCAAGAAGCUGCCAGACUGAGGUGCAGCUGCACCAUCACAUGUACCACCAGUCAGGAUGUUUAUGCUUGGGGCAGUGACCAUGGUUCAGCCUGGUACCAACAGAGAGAUGGAGAAACUCCUAAACUUCUCUUUUAUCGUGCCACCAGACGACAAUCAGGGAUUUCCAGUCGUUUUUCAGGCAGUGGAUCAAACUCUCAUUUCACUCUGACCAUCAGUGAUGUUCAGGCUGAAGAUGCAGCAGUUUAUUACUGUCAGAGUUUUCAUGUUAUCAACAGUCAGAAUGUGUUCACACAGUGAAAAACCGUCGUACAAAAACCUCCUUCAGCUGCAGAGGAACUGAUCUGAUCCACAGCUGCACUGAAACUAAAACACUAGAUGGUAACAACACUAUCCAAUCCAUAACUGGGAAGAAUCACAUUAUUUAACACUUUA